AUUGAACGCUGGCGGCAGGCCUAACACAUGCAAGUCGAGCGGAUGAAGGGAGCUUGCUCCUGGAUUCAGCGGCGGACGGGUGAGUAAUGCCUAGGAAUCUGCCUGGUAGUGGGGGAUAACGUCCGGAAACGGGCGCUAAUACCGCAUACGUCCUGAGGGAGAAAGUGGGGGAUCUUCGGACCUCACGCUAUCAGAUGAGCCUAGGUCGGAUUAGCUAGUCGGUGGGGUAAAGGCCUACCAAGGCGACGAUCCGUAACUGGUCUGAGAGGAUGAUCAGUAACAUUUGAAUGUUGACGCGCUCAAGGCUCCUUCGGGAGGCAGCAGUGGGGAUUAUUCGACUAUUGGCGAGAGCCUGAUCCAACCGUCCCGCGUGUGUGAAGAAGGUCUUCGGCUUGUUAAGCACUUUAAGUUGGGAGGAAGGGCAGUAAGUUAAUACCUUGCUGUUUUGACGUUCCCGACAGAAUAUGCGCCGGCUAACUUCGUG
Molecule: ribosomal RNA, 484 nt
Filed under: uncultured bacterium
Lineage: Bacteria
Description: partial 16S ribosomal RNA
Rfam family: Bacterial small subunit ribosomal RNA
Source: RNAcentral